RNAcentral lists this transfer RNA (33 nucleotides) under Darevskia saxicola. RNAcentral describes it as "partial tRNA-Thr". Lineage: Eukaryota; Metazoa; Chordata; Lepidosauria; Squamata; Lacertidae. The record is from RNAcentral.
UGCCCUAGUAGCUUAAACCACCCUAAAGCCCUG